UAACCCUGCGAGAGGGAGUGAUGUAUCGUUAGUUUUGCACACCUGUCACUGCGGCCAUGUGACUAGCGGAUUUUGAUAGCUGGGCUCAGAGGAAGUUUACGGAAAUACUAGCCGUGUCCGGUCCUGCGUCUGGUGACCGGGAGAGGCAGGGGCAGCUGGGCAGGGGAAUACAAUAUGCUUUAACUUAAGCCUAGAUUCUAUAAGGCAUACCUUGCAGCCUUACAAACUGACCAUCCCUCCAUACCGACAGAUAGAUAUACAAGGUUGUAUUGUGGUGUUUUUCCCUACUGUGGGUUACUGCGAGUCGGAACGUGGCUUAAGGAUAAAAGACUUAAUUGUGGCCGGUGAACUUCAACCAGAAAAAGGAUGAACUGAAUCACGUGCGGAGGUCAGACAAAAUCCAUUAAGAGAUCGUUCUCGAGCCAAAAGGAUGUCGUCUGCGUUGCCUCAGACGAUUGUUGGCAGAGGUCAAACAGCGAGUCUCCCGCCAUACCAGCACAGUAAGAUAAGCUUCAAACCGUCCCCUCUGUCGCCAGCAUUGGUGAAACAACCACGAAAGGUCGGUGAAGGAUUUUCUCCCUUAUUUGACGACGAUGACGGGCACAUAGCACCAUCUGAGUCUUCCGAGGAAGAGGAAAAACAAGAUCUUCCACAAACUUAUUUAGGUUUAGCCGUCGUUGUAUGCAUAUGUUUGAACUUUCCACUGGGACUCGCUGCUGUUGUCUCCUCCAUGUUUUCGGCGCUCGAGUACAAAAAUGGCGAAGAUGAGAAAGGGAAAAGGAGGGCCAAUAUAUCACUUGUUCUCAGUAUGGUGGGAAUGGUGAUGACGAUGGUGAUUACGAUAUUGUUUUUGUACAUGUGGACUUUGAGAAGCAAAGAUCAUGGACACGGCUAGCCCGUACAUGUACAUGUACUCCUAAACCUGCUUCACCUUAGAAAUGCACAUCGUUGUGUUUUGAAAAUUAUAUUCUGUAAAGUGGCAGUGGAGAUAUCUGUGAAGCAAACAUUUCUGAAACCAUUCACAGAAUUAUUUCUGGUAUUACAAAUUGACACGAAGUCAAUCUAGGGAGGAUCAAUUGCCUCUGCGUUUGGAGAUGCAAAAUAUCAAGAAUGUUUAUUGCUUAAGCUGUGGGUGAUGAAGCCCAGCAUCGAGCACUAAACACGUACAUCGUCUUCAUUUCGCGAUGCGCUAUCGGGAAUAACAAACACCUCUGCUGAUUAAAGACAUGAAGAGAAUAAACCAAGUCUCUGUUAAUCAAUUAGCUCAAUAUUUUGAUAGAAAAUCAAAUUUUCCUAAAGUUAGGUUUAUUAUUUAGAUUCACCUCAGACUACGGAACUUGUAAUGUACAUUUCCUAAAUAAACGAGGAUAUUAAUUUCUGCACGUGGCACACGUAAUUGAAUAAAUAAAUUGACCCUUCUCUCUUUGAGAUAUUAAAACUCCUCAAUAACAUCAAGGUGUAUGAGAUACCUCCUUGAUAGCAUUGAUUCAUUUCUCCUUUGUAAGACGGUGAUGGAAACUACAUGUAUUUUCAUCACCACGGAUCAUUUUGAUUAAAAACCCAUGUCUCCGAAUGAUGUUUAGGUAUAUAUGUUUAGGUAUAUAUGUUCAUGUAUAUAAGUAUUUUAGCUUAUAGGAUUUAGGUGCAAAUAAAUGGCUAAAACGCACGU
RNAcentral lists this long non-coding RNA (1669 nucleotides) under Lingula anatina. RNAcentral's name for it is "uncharacterized LOC106155838". Lineage: Eukaryota; Metazoa; Brachiopoda; Lingulata; Lingulida; Lingulidae. The record is from RNAcentral.